CCUUGGUUUUCAUCCCUCGAUAUGAAGUUUAGCGCUGCAAUGUAUCACUUUGUUCCUUGCUUGUAUUGGGGGAGACACGUUUAAUAUUCAGAAGAAGAAUGAAGCCAAUUGCAAGUAGCUUCUGGAAAUGGAGGAAUGGCAGAAAUCAGGACUACUCCCUUCCCAAGCCCAGCCUCUGGAACACAAGCCACCUGGCACUGGUCCUUCUGGAUGGGAUCCAGGGAGCUCUGUUCUUCCAUUCAACAAAUAUAAAUGCCAACGACAUUCAGGACAGUUUGCUGAAUUCCAAAAUCUACAGUCAGGGUUCCUAUGCUCAAGAUACCUAACAUUCACCUUGGUGUUUGAAGAUUCCCCAAGAUGUGGGUUUGGGAAAUAGACGAAAGAAGAGGCGCACGAUCCCUGCGAUGGACCCAAACCAAAACCAAAUUAAUGAAACUUGAUCUGUAGAUGUGGGAUCUUUGUCUUUUAAUAUGUGAGCCUGUCCGAACACGUGUAAAUGAGGAUUAACAUGGAAUCAGAAGAAAACUUGGGAGUUCUCUAAUCGCCUAGUGGGUAAAGGCUCCUGCCUUUUCACUGCUGUGGCUCUGAUUGCUCCUGUGGCACAGGUUUGAGCCCUGGCCCAGAAACCUCCACAUGCUGUGGGUUCAGCAGAAGAGAAAAAUAAAUAAGAGCAAACCUGAACUUUGCAAUUCUCAUUAAAAAAAAAAA
RNAcentral lists this long non-coding RNA (708 nucleotides) under Sus scrofa (pig). RNAcentral's name for it is "lncRNA (ENSSSCG00050077670.1)". Lineage: Eukaryota; Metazoa; Chordata; Mammalia; Artiodactyla; Suidae. The record is from RNAcentral.